This 355-nucleotide transfer-messenger RNA is filed under the name human gut metagenome. It matches the Rfam family "transfer-messenger RNA". From Rfam's summary of the family: Bacterial tmRNA, also known as 10Sa RNA or SsrA, is named for its dual tRNA and mRNA-like properties. Its role is to liberate the mRNA from a stalled ribosome. The record is from RNAcentral.
GGGGAUGCAAUGGUUUCGACGGGGGUUUAGAGGCAUGAGGAGCGGGCCGAAACGGCAGCCGCGUUAAGGCGCCAAACUAAAAUUAAACGCUAAUAACAAUAAUUACGAAUUAGCUGCCGCUUAAUUACAGCGGCAUGUCCUUCAGCGGCCUAUCGCGAGCCGCUAACGGAUAUCAACACUAAGCGAUGAACGUGAGGCGGGAAAGCUUUGACCCGUCCAUGCAUCUAUGAAGCUACCGAAUACGCCGGUAUGUCUGUGGAACGGCGUAUAAGGGAAUUUUAGCCAUAGACUACGCCCGUAGCGCCUUGUGAGGAUAAAUUUUCGGACAGGAGUUCGAUUCUCCUCAUCUCCACCA